AGUGAACGCUGGCGGUAGGCCUAACACAUGCAAGUCGAACGGCAGCACAGUAAGAGCUUGCUCUUACGGGUGGCGAGUGGCGGACGGGUGAGGAAUACAUCGGAAUCUACUUUUUCGUGGGGGAUAACGUAGGGAAACUUACACUAAUACCGCAUACGACCUACGGGUGAAAGCAGGGGAUCUUCGGACCUUGCGCGAUUGAAUGAGCCGAUGUCGGAUUAGCUAGUUGGCGGGGUAAAGGCCCACCAAGGCGACGAUCCGUAGCUGGUCUGAGAGGAUGAUCAGCCUCACUGGAACUGCGACACGGUCCAGACUCCUACGGGAGGCAGCAGUGGGGAAUAUUGGACAAUGGGCGCAAGCCUGAUCCAGCCAUACCGCGUGGGUGAAGAAGGCCUUCGGGUUGUAAAGCCCUUUUGUUGGGAAAGAAAAGCAGCAGGUUAAUACCCCGCUGUUCUGACGGUACCCAAAGAAUAAGCACCGGCUAACUUCGUG
Molecule: ribosomal RNA, 492 nt
Filed under: uncultured bacterium
Lineage: Bacteria
Description: partial 16S ribosomal RNA
Rfam family: Bacterial small subunit ribosomal RNA
Source: RNAcentral